CAUCCGGCGAGAGCCACUUCCGGUCAGAACAUCAAUGACCGCCAUUUGAAUCAACAAAAGGAGCUGUAACACUGUGAGGGUCUGGUCAGCUGCUUCAUUCUUGAAGUCAGUGAGACCGCAAACCCACCAGAAGGAACCAACUCCGGACACAGAGGGACUAGAUAAUACUGGCUGAAUGAAGGAAUAUGAACAAGGCCACUUAAGAUGCCCUUCUUGCAUGGCCGUAUAUCUUGAGCUUAUGGAUGAUUUAUUGCAACUGGCUGUUACUUCUCUCCCUUGAGCUCAUGGAGGGUGUCUUGGUCCUGAUUAUAUUUCAAGCUAACCUUCCCACUGUGAACUACUGGCAUCUUACUUUUUGACCCCUUGACAAGAAGAACUGGAGUUACCAAAAUGCUGUCAUUUAAGGUGUUGGAGUGGAAACCAGAACAUUACCUAUUAUCAAGAAGGGGU
This 450-nucleotide long non-coding RNA is filed under the name Homo sapiens (human). Its description in RNAcentral is "HSALNT0383373". The record is from RNAcentral. Lineage: Eukaryota; Metazoa; Chordata; Mammalia; Primates; Hominidae.